CCUACGGGAGGCAGCAGUGAGGAAUAUUGGUCAAUGGGCGAGAGUCUGAACCAGCCAAGUAGCGUGAAGGAUGACGGCCCUAUGGGUGGUAAACUUCUUUUAUAAGGGAAUAAAAUGUGCGACGUGUGGGGUUUUGUAUGUAGCAUAUGAAUAAGGAUCGGCUAACUCCGUGCCAGCAGCCGCGGUAAUACGGAGGAUCCGAGCGUUAUCCGGAUUUAUUGGGUUUAAAGGGAGCGUAGGCGGACUGUUAAGUGAGUUGUGAAAGUUUGUGGCUCAACCGUAAAAUUGCAGUUGAAACUGGGAGUCUUGAGUAUAUUAGAGGUGGGCGGAAUUCGUGGUGUAGCGGUGAAAUGCUUAGAUAUCACGAAGAACCCCGAUUGCGAAGGCAGCCUACCGGAC
RNAcentral lists this ribosomal RNA (399 nucleotides) under uncultured bacterium. RNAcentral's name for it is "partial 16S ribosomal RNA". It matches the Rfam family "Bacterial small subunit ribosomal RNA", at positions 338 to 734 of the family's 1533-position model. The record is from RNAcentral.